AACGAACGCUGGCGGCAGGCUUAACACAUGCAAGUCGAGCGCCCCGCACGGGGCGCGGCGGACGGGUGAGUAACGCGUGGGAACGUACCUUUUGGUUCGGGACAACUCCGGGAAACUGGAGCUCAUACCGGAUAAGCCCUCACGGGGAAAGAUUUAUCGCCGAAAGAUCGGCCCGCGUCUGAUUAGCUCGUGGUUGAGGUAACGGCUCACAAAGGCGACGAUCAGUAGCUGGUCUGAGAGGAUGAUCAGCCACACUGGGACUGGGACACGGCCCAGACCCCUAGGGAAGGAAGAAGGGGGGAAAAUGGGAAAAGGGGCGCAAGCCUAACCCGCCCAGGCGGGGUGAGUGAGGAAGGCCUAAGGUUUGUAAAGCUCUUUUGUCCGGGAAGAAAAGGACGGUACGGGAAGAAUAAGCCCGGGUGAACUUCGU
RNAcentral lists this ribosomal RNA (430 nucleotides) under uncultured bacterium. RNAcentral describes it as "partial 16S ribosomal RNA". It matches the Rfam family "Bacterial small subunit ribosomal RNA", at positions 29 to 506 of the family's 1533-position model. The record is from RNAcentral.